This 63-nucleotide transfer RNA is filed under the name Potamilus streckersoni. RNAcentral describes it as "tRNA-Val". Lineage: Eukaryota; Metazoa; Mollusca; Bivalvia; Unionida; Unionidae. The record is from RNAcentral.
CAAAAAGUAGUAUAUAAAUUACCGCUCGUUUACACCGAGCAAAAGGCUCUCAACCCUUUUUGA